CGAGCCCGCCGGGCGGCCGCGGCAUCGCCGAGGAAAGUCCGGACUCCACAGGGCAGAGUGCUGGGUAACACCCAGGCGGGGUGACCCGACGGAAAGUGCCACAGAGAGCAGACCGCCGAUGGCCGCGAGGCACAGGUGAGGGUGAAAGGGUGCGGUAAGAGCGCACCAGCGCCGGGGGUGACCCCGGCGGCUCGGCAA
Molecule: RNase P RNA, 198 nt
Filed under: Actinomycetota bacterium
Lineage: Bacteria; Bacillati; Actinomycetota
Description: partial RNase P RNA component class A
Rfam family: Bacterial RNase P class A
About the family: Ribonuclease P (RNase P) is a ubiquitous endoribonuclease, found in archaea, bacteria and eukarya as well as chloroplasts and mitochondria. Its best characterised activity is the generation of mature 5'-ends of tRNAs by cleaving the 5'-leader elements of precursor-tRNAs. Cellular RNase Ps are ribonucleoproteins.
Source: RNAcentral